RNAcentral lists this long non-coding RNA (4420 nucleotides) under Marmota monax (woodchuck). The stretch from base 452 to 520 matches the Rfam family "tRNA". Lineage: Eukaryota; Metazoa; Chordata; Mammalia; Rodentia; Sciuridae. The record is from RNAcentral.
GUCUCACUGAGUUGCUUAGUGCCUCACUGUUGCUGAGGCUGGCUUUGAACUCUGUGAUUCUCCUGCCUCAGCCUCUGAAGCUGCUGGGAUUACAGGUGUGCGACACCACACCUGGCUCAGGCAGUGUUAUUGAUGAUGAGUGACAUUUCCAUGAGCAGAGGUCUCGGGGUCAACUUACCUGUUCUGCUCUCCUGGGGUAUGGUACCUUGAAUCAGGUCCUCAAAUGUGCUGUUCAUCCCCCUCAUUUUCUCUCCAACUCCUAAGUGUCCUUCGGGUCACAGGUUAAAUGUUACUUUCACCAAAGGCUUCUUAUUCCCUGGCAAAUCUGAUGAGAAGUUUUCCCCCUGUGCUUCCCAUGACUCUGCCUGUGAGUCAUGACGUGCAUCCUAUGUCAUCCUAUCCAUUGUCAUUGCUCAUGAAAAUGAAUGCAUACCAAAAUAACUGGAGGGCUGGGGUUGUGGCUCAGUGGUAGAGCGCUCGCCUAACACACGUGAGGCACUGGGUUUGAUCCUCAGCACCACAUAAAAACAAGUGAACAAAAUAAAGGUUUGAUGUCCACCUACAACUAAAAAAGUGAAAGAAAGAAAAUGACAAGGCUCCCCAUGUGGAAGAUUCCAUAGUAUCUUGAGGCACCUGCUCUGUGGUCUGCUUCAGAAAACUUGAAUUUAAAGAAAAUCUUUGUGCAAAUGUUUCCCUUUCUGCUUCUCCCAUGGACAUAACACCUGUUCUCCUUAUUAUAUAUAUUCAUUCUCACUAACCCCUGUCUCACUUUUUCUUUUUCUUAAUUUUCUCUGUCUUGUUUCCCUCCUCUAUUCUAUCCUCUUUAAUCAACUGCAGAACACAUAACCGACCAGUAUUCAUGAACAAAUCCUUCGAAGGCAGCAAGAUCCCAAUCUUUGGCUGCUUUCCCAGUGACCAGAGAGGAUGCAUGGCCCUCAAAAGGGAGCCGACAACUCCCAGAGGCCAACCUGAGAGUGACCCUGAAGCCAAUGGGCAUGCAUCUUCUCUCCUCCAAUGAAGAUGGGAGUUUGCACUCUGCUGAGUCAUCUGACCCCCCACAGAAAAUUCAGAAAGUAAAAGCACAAGAGGCACACAGGGGCCCAGAGCAGACUGAGCAAAUCUGUGCACUUACCCAGGCCAAUUCUCUACAUUUAUAAGAAGAAAGAUGAUACAUAUCAGAAAUAUCGGGACCCCCCUUUCAAACCUGGAUUUCAGAAUGGCUCUGCGGUACACCUCCCUUUCACCCCAGGUCCCUGCAAAUGUGGUUGGUGGUUACUGAUGGCCCUUUGCCUCCAGCUCAUUGGGUGAGAAAAUAUGGAAUCCUGUGUCUUUAAGAACUGAAACCAUCUAGAAACAGGAUUUGAUACCCUGUAGGAGACAGGAGACUUCCCUUUUGCUGUUCAAGUUUCAUCUUCAGUUAUCAGGAACUGAGCGGGGGGCAACGGGACUCGGAGCUGCAGCAGUGCAGGCCUGCGAAGCUGCUGGUCUCUGGAGAUGAAUACACUCUUCUUUCUCUUUGAAUGUACCUCACCACAGUGAAAAAUACGUUUAAGAAAGUCCCUGGUUGACUCUGCACGUCCCAUGGGUUCGCUAGAAGAGGGGAGCACCAGGUCUCAUCCCAGAUGCCCGCCUGUCCUGUCAAUCUCUGGAGCUCCCCGUAUCUGGAGCAUCCUCUGUGUGCCUGGGGCCCAGUCCCAGUCUGUGCUCGGUGAGGGCAAGCUCACCUACGGCACAGUCGAGGACCCUCUGUUGGAAGGAUUUGCAGGUCACAUGGUUCAAGUUGUUCCUUUUAUAGCUGGAGCAGUUGGGACCCAAGAUGCCAGAGGUAUGCCCCUCCCGACAGUCACGGUGCACAGGGUCAGGGAUCCCAGUACCCUGACUGCCUGUGCUGUGGUUUUCCUGACAUUCCAUGCAGUCACCCAGGCACGGCUUGACACGAGGUGUUCCAGAUGUGGUCCUGCUGGAGACUACACCCAUCGUCCAUUCUCUACCCUUCUCUUCCCAUGUGCCUGCCCCUGAUGGCUAGAUUCCAAAUGGCAUUUGUGGGAGGCACCCGCAGGAGACUGGGAGGUGGAAGGAGGGAGCAGUCUGUGGGGUGUUUCUUGCUUUCCUUUCCCUGCCACAGUCUUCCAGGACCACGGCUUCUCCUGGAGCCCAGCCCCUGUUUCCAUUAGCCCCAGGAAUCCCAUCCUCGCCCUCCGCCCCUCCAGGCCCACAUGUGGUAAUAGCUCCCGACUGUUGGCAGCCUCCCGUGCUCCACAUCCCUUGUUGGGUCCCUAACUGGCCCACAUCUCUCUAAAUCAUCCCUUCAUCCAAACCUCUAUAGUCCCCAUGUUCCCUGAGUACCACUAAUGUUGACCUUCAUCGGAUUUUAUUGGGAAUAUCUUCUUCCCUGGCCUAUCUCACCCUCUGGUCUCUCCACCCACCUCCAGAUUAUCUGUCUAGAAGUCAAAUCUGAUAGUGUCUCUCCCCCACUGAAAAAUCUUCUGUGGCUGUGGUGCUGAAAACCAACCCUGCCUGGCCAAAGAAGGCCCUUCCCCAUCUGGUUCUAGUCUAACCUAUUCUCCCAGCAGCAAAUCUGGAAGACCAAGGGAAUGAAGCCGACCGUGGGAGGAGACAAGACAGGAUGGAGGCAUAAGGGAAUGGACAUUAAGGAUGUAGGGGUUCCUGCUGCCGAGUCCAGGAGAGGAGACUGACAUGCAAGCCCUCCUGACCCACAUGCAAGCCCUCCUGACCCUGUGAGGUCCCACCCAGGGCUUCCAUGAGACUGUAUCCUAAGCAGUUCCACAGGCAGGGUCCUCAUCUGACCAAGUGGGAUGUACUUUAGUUCCUUGUGAUCAGCGAAGCCUGAUCUCUUUCCUCAACAUCUCCAUUUGGUAAGUUCUUAGUCAUCUUUGAACUUCCAGCUCAGACAUUACCUCCUUUGAGGAGCUCCCUUGAGUCACCCAAUCACAGCUCUCCUUUCUUCCUCUCUGUGUUGUAGAGCCCUGUGUGUCUCUGUCACAGGAGGGGUCUUAUUGUACUCUAUUUUAGAUUCACUGUACUCUUUCAAAAGUUCUACAUAAAUUUUACGUAGCUUGUCAGCAUUUAAAAAUCCCUCUUUUUUUAAAACAGGAUUGCUUCUAUAGAUGAAGUGGGGGAGAGAUGACAUCUUGUUGGGACUGAGUCUUCUGGUCCAAGAACGUGAUACCUCUGUUCAUUUACUGAAAUAUUCUUUAGUUUGUUCAGUCAUGUUUUAUAAUACACAGAGUAGAGGUUUUCACAGAUUUCAUGAAAUGUGUCCUUAAGUAUGAUAUGCUUUUCUUGAUGUUGUUGUAAAUGGGAUUUAUAAAGUUUUAAUUUUUCACCUGUUCUUUGCUGGUAUGUUUGUGGUAUUCUUCUGUUUUCUGUUGCUAUAACAAAGUACCUGACACUAGGUUCUUGAUAGAGAAAAAAGAUUUGGACUGGGUUGUAGCUCAGUGAUAGAGUGUGUACUUAGCAUGUGCAAGGUCCUAGGUUCAAUCUCCAGCACCAAAAAUGAAAAAGAGAGAGAGCCAGGCAUGGUGGCACAUGCUUAUAAUCCCAAUGGCUUGGGAGGCUGAGGAUGGAAGAUCACAAGUUCAAAGCCAGCCUCAACAAUUUAGUGAAGCUCUCAGCAAUUCAGUGAAACCAUAUGUCAAAAUAAAACACAGGGGCUGGGGUUAUGGCUCAGCAGUAGAGCGCUCGCCUCACACAUGCAAGGUCCUGGGUUCGACCCUCAGCACCACAUUAAUAAAUAAAUAAAUAAAUAAAUAAAAGUUUAAAAAAAAAAAAAAAAACACAAAAGGGCUGGGGGACCCUCUGGUCCAUGACAUCACAGUGGCAGGAGCACAUGUAAGAACAAUCUCAUGGCAAGAUAGGAAGCUAGAGAGACUGAGGUGGGACCAGGAUUGCUCUUUUUUAUGCAACCCAUUCUUGAGGGACCUAACUAGGGUCCUUCAAGAUUUAGGUUAAUUUCUUCCCAGGGCAGUUCCCCCAGUGACCCAAUCACCUUUCCCCAGGUUCCCACUCUUAAAGGUCCCGCACCUCCCAGCAUGGUCACUCUGAGGACCAGGCUUCCAACACGAACCCUGGAGAGACACCUGCAAACCAUGUCCUAAUCAGAGCAUUUUGUAGAUGGGCCUCCUGUCCUUUAACCAGACUAAAGUCACUUGUAGCAGGUUUGGGUUUCUUUCGUUCCUUUUUUUAGAUUCCAUACGACUUUCUGUGUACAAAAUUAUGCUGCCUCAAAACAGAAAAAAGGUUUGCUUUUUUAUUUCCAAACUUGAAGCAUUUUAUUCCCUUGUCUUGCCUCAUAUGUUGCUGGGUUCCAGUAUAAUAUUUAGUAGAUGGGCUGCUGUCUAUCUUAGGGAAAAGCAUCUGGUCGCUCACUGUUGAUAACGUGGUUAAUUAUAGUUUUUUC